UGUAGGCAUCUUAUCAUCUCACAUCAUCACAAGAAGGUUAAGUACGGUAAAAUAAGAUAUUCUGAGAAAGAUACCACAUUUAUAUAACUUAUACUACAGUCUAUCAUCAUAAUUGAUCUAUUGCAUUAUGGUUAUUGUUGUUAAUCUCUCACCGUGCCUAAUAUAUCAAUUAAACAUUAUCAUAGGUAUGUAUAGGAAAACCACAGUAUAUGUCGCGUUUGGUACUAUCUGUGGUUUCAGGUAUCCACUGGGGGUCUUGGAAUGUAUUCCCUGUAGAUAAAGGGGGACUACUAUAUACCAAUUUGCUCAUAUCCUGGCUUCCUAUUCACUUCUUCUGCCUCUGUCCUUCCUUCUGUCUUCCUCCGCAUUAAAAACUCAAAUAUGCUAAGAGAAAGCUUUCACUUUUUAAAUAGCCUAAAUUGGCACAGUUUGCUUUUUCACCAUCUCUGAAAAUUAACAUGUGACCAAAUCAUUUCACCUCUGGUAGCAGAGAUGUAUGAGACUAUACUUUUCUGUAAUGCCAGAAAAGCAUAAUCCAAUUUAGUAGAGGCAAAGAAAGAAAAGGAUGGUGAUAAAUUUCUACAUAAAUGCCUCAUGUUGGCAUGAGAUCAUCUACAAUCCUCUUAUUUGUCAAAUAAAGAGAUGGAGAUUCAGGGAGUUAGAGUCACUUUCUAUCACAAAGCCUGUAGCAGAAUCAAGACUCAAGCCCAAGUCUUCAGAGCAAAGCUUAGUACGUUAUAUCACACUUUUCUCCUGGCUUCCAUUUCUGAGACUCACCAAAAGCUUCAAGACCAGAGAACAUAAUUUGCCAUCUUAUACUUAGAAAAUGCCAUCAGUUUUUCUGCACUAAUUACGGGUCCUUUGGAUGAAGAUAGUAACAUAAAACUGGCAGUAUUUUUCAUGGAAGAAGAUUUAUGCAUCACUGCAUUUGGCUUUUGAGCUUCUCCAGGGAAGGAACAUACUUAUUCAGGUUUGUGUCUCCACAAACACCUGGCAUGUUACCUGGCUCAUCCUUGGUGACCAGUAAAUAAUUGUUAAACUGAAUUACUGGAUUCUGCUUUGUCGUCCAAUAUGCUGGCGAUGUCAUCUGGGAAUACUGGCAAGAACAGUUCUUGAAGUUUGCAUUGGUGUGGACAGAGUACAUAGCCAUCAACAUGGCAUGGAUUUGAGAGUGAAUAAAAAAAAGAAACAAAAAGAGAAGAUAAUCAUUUAGCGGUAUCCUGGAUCCAGCUCUCCUUAAUGAGCUCCACCCCGUGACCAAGACAUCUGCAGAGGCCUCUCCCGUUUUGUUUUUGAUGCCGCAUGUGAAGAGAGUGGCAGAUCCCCAAUAGGAGUCUGAUAAUAGCAGAACGACUGGGCACUGAACCCCCAAAGCUCGAAACUCACCAAAAACAG
Long non-coding RNA from Neofelis nebulosa (Clouded leopard), 1395 nucleotides. RefSeq lists it as uncharacterized. The record is from RefSeq and is a predicted model, not a curated record. The transcript is spliced from 6 exons. Lineage: Eukaryota; Metazoa; Chordata; Mammalia; Carnivora; Felidae.